Cicer arietinum (chickpea) is the source of this 1797-nucleotide non-coding RNA. The record is from RefSeq and is a predicted model, not a curated record. Lineage: Eukaryota; Viridiplantae; Streptophyta; Magnoliopsida; Fabales; Fabaceae.
UAAUAACAGUCAUGAAUUUAAGCUGUGCUUUAGUAUUAUUUAUGUUAUAGAAUUUAUUAUUUAGUAAAGCCAUAAUCUUGCCGCCUUAACUAGACAUUGGAUAGUAAGAUAAUUUGAAAGUUUCUAUACAUUAGCUCGACCUUCAAUUUGUUUAUGUUAAUUAUUAUUCAUUAAUUAUUACCGUUAUUGUCAAUCAGCAAUUUCUAAGUCUAUUUGUAAUCAAUGUUGUCAAACCAUAGCCACAUAAUUCGCUAACAUGACAAGGGAACUGCGAAUUGGUUUGUGAGUACCAAUUCGCGGUACUUUUAUGAAUUGGUACGGCAAGAUACGUCAUUAAUUCAAGGAAAGUGAAGUACCAGAGUAAAAGUUGGUCAUAGACCUAAUAAACCGUGGGAAGGGAGCAGAGCUCGCACUUUAUAAAGCGAUGUACCAACCCUAAAUGUGGGACUGUCUCAUUUGUUUCAAUGUGGGACUACCACAUUUGUUUGAUAGCUUAAACUAACGGGUGCGGCUACCAACCCUAAAUGUGGGACUGCACUAAUGGGAGUUGGAAUAACCACAUAAGUUAUACAAGGGAUGGCUGCGGCAGUGUUGCAAAUGACACAACAAUAUAAAAAGAUGAAUGCUCUCAUCUUACAAUUGAAGCAAAAAAAUAGUCAAAGAAUCGAAAGUGUUGCUAAAGCCAAAGGAUUGUCGAAAUUUAUCCGCAUUAAUCCAUCUAAGUUCAAAGGGGGUUAUGAUCCUGAUGGAGGAGAUUUUUAGAUCCGAGAAAUGGAAAAGAUUUUUGAAGCCAUGUCCUGUCUGACAAUUGGAGGGUCACUUAUGAAACCUUUAUGCUUGUUGGAGAAACGUACUAUUGGUGGGAGUGAGCUUGCCAGAGAGAGGGGGAGUUUUGGCAAUUGAAACAAGGGGGCUUGACUGUGGGUGAGUAUGUGACCAAGUUUGAGUAUCUAUCGAAAUUUUCAACGUGCCAUAGUGAGGAGUGGAAGUGUCGGAUGUUCAAGGAGGGGCUGAGCAAUGAGAUUAAGGAAGUUGUGAUGCUAGAGAUUAGGGAGUUCCAUGAGUUGCUGCAUAGGUGUAGUAGGGUUGAAGAAGUUAAUAAGUCUAGGGAGGAAAGUUUGCAAGAUUCUAGACCAUUGCGGGUAAAAAGGAGAGACAAUAAGUUCAAACAAAAGCCAUAUGCUCGACCUAUGGAUGAUCAACAAUUUUUGUCUGCUCUUGGAAGUGGCGAAGGGUCCAAUGAAUGGUAUGGAAAGGCACAUGAUGUGAAGACUUGUCCUGUUAAGGGAUUGGUUUGCUUUGGGUGCAAGAAGCCAGGACACUAUGCUUGGGAUUGCAAUUAGUCGAAGGAAGUACCAUGGGUUAACAAUGUUCAAGCAACAUGUUCAUUCACUCACAUGUGACGAGUCCUUUUCAUGCAUUCAGCGAGCGAUUCAAGUUUUUUGUUAACCAUGUUGCCAACCUUUUGGUGGAUUAUGGUGUAUUCUUGUGUUGUGUUGGAAUCAACGCUAGGUUGUAGGGUAUAUGCCUAUUGUUUUAAGUACUAUUUGAAAGCCUUUUUCAAAAACAAAAAUGUAUUUUGACAAGUAUGUAUGCAUUAUUGGCUAGUUGGGUAUCAAAAUCAUGUAUCAAGUGACGUGUGUCGUAGUAGGUGUGGAUUUGUUAUAAAGCCAAUAUAAACCAUCGUAAUCUUUUCUAGACUUGCAACCUUCAGAUAUGAUGGUCAUACAUGUUCAUUUGAUAUUAUCCAUUGAUUUUGAUCAUCAAUGGUUUAUAUUAGUGACUUUAUUAUUUAAA